RNAcentral lists this ribosomal RNA (492 nucleotides) under uncultured bacterium. RNAcentral's name for it is "partial 16S ribosomal RNA". It matches the Rfam family "Bacterial small subunit ribosomal RNA", at positions 29 to 507 of the family's 1533-position model. The record is from RNAcentral.
AGUGAACGCUGGCGGUAGGCCUAACACAUGCAAGUCGAACGGCAGCACAGUAAGAGCUUGCUCUUACGGGUGGCGAGUGGCGGACGGGUGAGGAAUACAUCGGAAUCUACUUUUUCGUGGGGGAUAACGUAGGGAAACUUACGCUAAUACCGCAUACGACCUACGGGUGAAAGCAGGGGAUCUUCUGACCUUGCGCGAUUGAAUGAGCCGAUGUCGGAUUAGCUAGUUGGCGGGGUAAAGGCCCACCAAGGCGACGAUCCGUAGCUGGUCUGAGAGGCUGAUCAGCCACACUGGAACUGAAACACGGUCCAGACUCCUACGGGAGGCAGCAGUGGGGAAUAUUGGACAGUGGGCGCAAGCCUGAUCCAGCCAUACCGCGUGGGUGAAGAAGGCCUUCGGGUUGUAAAGCCCUUUUGUUGGGAAAGAAAAGCAGCAGGUUAAUACCCCGCUGUUCUGACGGUACCCAAAGAAUAAGCACCGGCUAACUUCGUG